Rhincodon typus (whale shark) is the source of this 490-nucleotide long non-coding RNA. RefSeq lists it as uncharacterized. NCBI's taxonomy places the organism in Eukaryota, Metazoa, Chordata, Chondrichthyes, Orectolobiformes, Rhincodontidae. The transcript has 3 exons. The record is from RefSeq and is a predicted model, not a curated record.
UAUCUGAAUCACUACCGAACAUUAUGCAAUCAUGUGAACAUUCCCACCUCUGAUCAUUUGAUGGAGGGAAGGUAAUUGAUAAAGCAACUUCUGCUUUGGACAUGAAGUUGUCUGGAACUGAAAUGACUUACUUCCAACAACCACAACCAUCCUUCAUGCCAAGUAUGAUUCCAGCCAGUGCAAAAAAAAGGUUCUCUGAAGAGACGUCAUUCACCACUGCAGAUUAGUAUGCAUCACGGUCAGCAUAGGAUGGCAGCAGAGGGAGACAAAGACCAGCUCUUCCAAGUAGCCAGUGCUUUCUCUGCUUCCAUUGACUAAUCCCCUUCUUGGAAUUGAACCCAUUGGAACUGGGCUACACUCUCCCGACCGACUUGACACUGAUCCUUCUCGACUUCCAUAUGAGUGCAGUGACAUCUUUGGUUUUAAUUUUACUGCAGAUGAAUUUGCACACUCCAAGUUCAGUUCUGAAAAAUAAAAGCAUUAAAUAAAA